UUGCAGAUUGAUUUUAGUGUGCGGAUCCCAAUCAAGCGAUUUUAUUGCAAAAUCAGCUCCUAUGAGGCUCAAGAAAGAUUACAUGGUUUUUUACGUUACGAACGAUUAACUUCGGAGAGAUUAAGCAAAACAGGUCAAGAUAAAAAUAGAGAUGCGAUUAUUUACGUCUGUCAUUGACUACAGGUGUAGUAUGACGUUCAAGAUGAAGACAACUUGAAUACUUAUAUUACGGAGCUUUCUAAUUAUAACACUUUUUUUUCCAGUUAUACUUUCUGAAUACAAUUCUUUUAUGAAUGCCAUUACCUUCUGUAUAUCUUCUAACUAGUGCAGUUUUUCCUGAAAAGAGUAAACAGAAGAUUGUUACUGAAAGAAAGCUGUUCAAUCAGAAGAAGCAAACAAUAGUCGUGUUUAACAUGUAAACAGAAUUGUUCAGAUGCUACACAAUUUCUAAUGACGUGAACCUAAGAAAAGUUAACCAAUCAAAAGAUGAAAUCGCGAUGAAUUCACACGAUAUUGAAUGGAAACCAU
This 528-nucleotide long non-coding RNA is filed under the name Megachile rotundata (alfalfa leafcutting bee). Its description in RNAcentral is "uncharacterized LOC105662732, transcript variant X2". Lineage: Eukaryota; Metazoa; Arthropoda; Insecta; Hymenoptera; Megachilidae. The record is from RNAcentral.